RNAcentral lists this ribosomal RNA (751 nucleotides) under Syllis schulzi. Its description in RNAcentral is "partial 18S ribosomal RNA". It matches the Rfam family "Eukaryotic small subunit ribosomal RNA", at positions 484 to 1539 of the family's 1831-position model. Lineage: Eukaryota; Metazoa; Annelida; Polychaeta; Phyllodocida; Syllidae. The record is from RNAcentral.
UGCGGGACUCGAUCGAGGCUCCGCGACCGGAAUGAGUACACUUUAAACCCUUUGGCGAGGAUCUAUUGGAGGGCAAGUCUGGUGCCAGCAGCCGCGGUAAUUCCAGCUCCAAUAGCGUAUAUUAAAGUUGUUGCAGUUAAAAAGCUCGUAGUUGGAUCUCGGGCUUGCCGGCACGCGGUCUCGCGGGUCCCGCGGCUCAUGCCGCCCGCGGUGCACCGGUGCCGGCGCCCUACCGGCGGGGGGAGGCCUGAGCAGGGCCGUCCUGGUGGCUGCGUGCAAGCGCGCCACUGGUUGCCGCUGUCCUUCACCGGGCGGCCGGCGGCACCCGUCCAGUUUACUUUGAAAAAAUUAGAGUGUUCAAGGCAGGCUCAGACAGCCUGAAUAAUGGUGCAUGGAAUAAUGGAACAGGGCCUCGGUCCUAUUCUGUUGGUUCUCCGGGACUGGAGGCAAUGAUUAAGGAUUGACAGAUUGAGAGCUCUUUCUUGAUUCGGUGGGUGGUGGUGCAUGGCCGUUCUUAGUUGGUGGAGCGAUCUGUCUGGUUAAUUCCGAUAACGAACGAGACUCUGGCCCCUCAAUAGUCCUCCCCCCCCGCCAAUGGGAGGGGAGCCCGUCGUACUUCUCAGGGGGACAAGCGGUGUCACCAACCGCACGAGAGUGAGGAAUAACAGGUCUGUGAUGCCCUUAGAUGUCCGGGGCCGCACGCGCGCUACACUGACAGAGGCAAAGGGUACCGAUCAUCCUGGUCUGGCGA